GUGCCCUUCAGUACGGAAUAGCUUCUGGAAACGGAAGGUAAUACCGUAUACGCCCUCCGGGGGAAAGAUUUAUCGCUGAAGGAUCGGCCCGCGUUAGAUUAGCUUGUUGGUGAGGUAAUGGCUCACCAAGGCGACGAUCUAUAGCUGGUCUGAGAGGAUGAUCAGCCACACUGGGGCUGAGACACGGCCCAGACUCCUACGGGAGGCAGCAGUGGGGAAUCUUGCACAAUGGGCGAAAGCCUGAUGCAGCCAUGCCGCGUGAAUGAUGAAGGCCCUAGGGUUGUAAAAUUCUUUCAUCAGGGACGAUAAUGACGGUACCUGAAGAAGAAGCCCCGGCUAACUUCGUGCCAGCAGCCGCGGUAAUACGAAGGGGGCUAGCGUUGUUCGGAAUUACUGGGCGUAAAGCGCGCGUAGGCGGACUAUUAAGCCAGAUGUGAAAUCCCGGGGCUCAACCUCGGAACUGCAUUUGGAACUGGUAGUCUAGAGGCCAGGAGAGGUUAGUGGAAUGCCGAGUGUAGAGGUGAAAUUCGUAGAUAUUCGGUGGAACACCAGUGGCGAAGGCGACUGACUGGACUGGUACUGACGCUGAGGUGCGAAAGUGUGGGGAGCAAACAGGAUUAGAUACCCUGGUAGUCCACACCGUAAACGAUGAGUGCUAGUUGUCGGCAGGCAUGCCUGUCGGUGACGCAGCUAACGCAUUAAGCACUCCGCCUGGGGAGUACGGCCGCAAGGUUAAAACUCAAAGAAAUUGACGGGGGCCCGCACAAGCGGUGGAGCAUGUGGUUUAAUUCGAAGCAACGCGCAGAACCUUACCUACCCUUGACAUGCCCGGUUUGGUCGCCAGAGAUGGCUUCCUUGAUUCGUUCGCCGGUGCACAGGUGCUGCAUGGCUGUCGUCAGCUCG
This 903-nucleotide ribosomal RNA is filed under the name uncultured organism. RNAcentral describes it as "bacterial SSU rRNA". It matches the Rfam family "Bacterial small subunit ribosomal RNA", at positions 126 to 1062 of the family's 1533-position model. The record is from RNAcentral.